Molecule: ribosomal RNA, 707 nt
Filed under: Streptomyces sp. Sp080513SC-25
Lineage: Bacteria; Bacillati; Actinomycetota; Actinomycetes; Kitasatosporales; Streptomycetaceae
Description: bacterial SSU rRNA
Rfam family: Bacterial small subunit ribosomal RNA
Source: RNAcentral
UGCUUAACACAUGCAAGUCGAACGAUGAAGCCCUUCGGGGUGGAUUAGUGGCGAACGGGUGAGUAACACGUGGGCAAUCUGCCCUUCACUCUGGGACAAGCCCUGGAAACGGGGUCUAAUACCGGAUAACACUCUGUCCCGCAUGGGACGGGGUUAAAAGCUCCGGCGGUGAAGGAUGAGCCCGCGGCCUAUCAGCUUGUUGGUGGGGUAAUGGCCUACCAAGGCGACGACGGGUAGCCGGCCUGAGAGGGCGACCGGCCACACUGGGACUGAGACACGGCCCAGACUCCUACGGGAGGCAGCAGUGGGGAAUAUUGCACAAUGGGCGAAAGCCUGAUGCAGCGACGCCGCGUGAGGGAUGACGGCCUUCGGGUUGUAAACCUCUUUCAGCAGGGAAGAAGCGAAAGUGACGGUACCUGCAGAAGAAGCGCCGGCUAACUACGUGCCAGCAGCCGCGGUAAUACGUAGGGCGCAAGCGUUGUCCGGAAUUAUUGGGCGUAAAGAGCUCGUAGGCGGCUUGUCACGUCGGAUGUGAAAGCCCGGGGCUUAACCCCGGGUCUGCAUUCGAUACGGGCUAGCUAGAGUGUGGUAGGGGAGAUCGGAAUUCCUGGUGUAGCGGUGAAAUGCGCAGAUAUCAGGAGGAACACCGGUGGCGAAGGCGGAUCUCUGGGCCAUUACUGACGCUGAGGAGCGAAAGCGUGGGGAGC